RNAcentral lists this ribosomal RNA (253 nucleotides) under uncultured bacterium. RNAcentral describes it as "partial 16S ribosomal RNA". It matches the Rfam family "Bacterial small subunit ribosomal RNA", at positions 524 to 776 of the family's 1533-position model. The record is from RNAcentral.
UACGUAGGGUGCGAGCGUUAUUCGGAAUUACUGGGCGUAAAGCGUGCGUAGGCGGUUUUGUAAGACCGCGGUGAAAUCCCCGGGCUCAACCUGGGAACUGCCUUUGUGACUGCAAGGCUUGAGUGCGGCAGAGGGGGAUGGAAUUCCGCGUGUAGCAGUGAAAUGCGUAGAUAUGCGGAGGAACACCGAUGGCGAAGGCAAUCCCCUGGGCCUGCACUGACGCUCAUGCACGAAAGCGUGGGGAGCAAACAGG